This 429-nucleotide ribosomal RNA is filed under the name Chloroflexota bacterium. RNAcentral describes it as "Chloroflexi bacterium partial 16S ribosomal RNA". It matches the Rfam family "Bacterial small subunit ribosomal RNA", at positions 355 to 776 of the family's 1533-position model. The record is from RNAcentral. Lineage: Bacteria; Bacillati; Chloroflexota.
UGGGGAAUAUUGCACAAUGGGCGCAAGCCUGAUGCAGCCAUGCCGCGUGUAUGAAGAAGGCCUUCGGGUUGUAAAGUACUUUCAGUCGGGAGGAAGGUGGUAAGGUUAAUAACCUUGGCAAUUGACGUUACCGACAGAAGAAGCACCGGCUAACUCCGUGCCAGCAGCCGCGGUAAUACGGAGGGUGCAAGCGUUAAUCGGAAUUACUGGGCGUAAAGCGCACGCAGGCGGUUGAUUGAGUCAGAUGUGAAAUCCCCGGGCUUAACCCGGGAAUUGCAUCUGAUACUGGUCAGCUAGAGUCUUGUAGAGGGGGGUAGAAUUCCAUGUGUGGCGGUGAAAUGCGUAGAGAUGUGGAGGAAUACCGGUGGCGAAGGCGGCCCCCUGGACAAAGACUGACGCUCAGGUGCGAAAGCGUGGGGAGCAAACAGG